ACACGACUACAUUAGAUACCCCCGUAGUCCUAGCCGUAAACGAUACUCGCUAGGUGUCGGCCACGGUGCGACCGUUGUCGGUGCCGUAGGGAAGCCGUGAAGCGAGCCACCUGGGAAGUACGGCCGCAAGGCUGAAACUUAAAGGAAUUGGCGGGGAGCACCACAACGGGUGGAGCUUGCGGUUUAAUUGGAUUCAACGCCGGAAAUCUUACCGGGACCGACAGCAACAUGAAGGCCAGGCUGAAGACUUUGCCGGAUUAGCUG
RNAcentral lists this ribosomal RNA (264 nucleotides) under uncultured archaeon. RNAcentral describes it as "partial 16S ribosomal RNA". It matches the Rfam family "Archaeal small subunit ribosomal RNA", at positions 717 to 982 of the family's 1478-position model. The record is from RNAcentral.